Molecule: long non-coding RNA, 1166 nt
Filed under: Populus trichocarpa (black cottonwood)
Lineage: Eukaryota; Viridiplantae; Streptophyta; Magnoliopsida; Malpighiales; Salicaceae
Description: long non-coding RNA (PTRI_LNC000926)
Source: RNAcentral
UAAAGUUAAACCUCUCGAGGUUUUUAAAAUAAUGUUAUUUAAACUUGAUUGUUACACUUGUCCGCACCAAGUCACGGUAAUAAAACUUCAAAAACAAGUGAUAUAUGAAAACAUAUUACUAGCUUCACAAUAAUUAUACUCUGGUUUGAUAUUAUUUUUUUCUAUAUGAUAGUAUGUAGGGGUGUUCAAAUCCCAGUUCAGUUUGGUUUGGGCCAAAAGAUCCAACCGAAUAAGGUUUUUUAAUUUCUAAAAGAUUUGUCUCGGACCGGACCGGACCGAUUCGGUUCCGUUCAGGCCGGUUUUUUUACUUUGAAAUCCGAAAAACCCAAAACCAUCUUCAUUGUCGACAUCAACAACCAUCCUUCACUUUCACUCCUUUCGCAACAGCCAAACCAGAAUCAACCACCCGCUAGACCAGGCUGUGACAACCUCUAUUCUCCUCCAAAUACUACAAACACAAACCACUUCACCAUCUCCCACCACUACAACCUUCAUCACCGUUGAUCGCUAUCAUAACCAUUACCUCCCUCAUCCUCUCUCCUCCAUACCCGAACCAGUCACUCUCACCCACAGCUCCAUCUACCACCGAAACAAGCUCCAGUAGCACCUACAAGAGGCGAUAACAUAAAAGCUGGCCAGCAGCCCCUCUACAACAGAUGCUAUCAGAACACCCUCACCAUGGUCAGCCUUUAGAUUCUCUCAACCAAAAAGCUCGUACCAGCCCCCCCAAUCACACCAAAAGCUAACCUAAAAAUAUAUAUAUAAAAAACUAGAUCUAGAUUCGAAAAAGGAGGAAAAAGAGAAGAAGAAACAAUAGGAAAAAAGGAAAAAACAAGUUAAGAUAUUAUGGGUUUCCUGCCGGCCAUAUUUGACUGAUGGCACACAGUGGGGAGAAAAAUGUGUUCUUUUGUUUUGUUUUCUUGCUUUCUAUAGAGAAGCCAGAGCUUCUCUCUCUAAAAAACCAGAUUUUUAAGCUUUUAUUUAUCAAGCUUUCUCUUCAAAUUUCUCAGUUCGGGUUUUUUUUAUAUAGAUGGUUUAAUUUCAGUUGAACUGGUUCACUUGGUUUCAACUUUCUGAAACUAGAACUGAAUCGAAAUGGCUUGUCUUCUUUUUAAUUCGGUUUUUUUAACACCCCUAAUAAUAUGCGUGUUAGGAUUCAAGCAUGC